Molecule: ribosomal RNA, 335 nt
Filed under: uncultured Bacillota bacterium
Lineage: Bacteria; Bacillati; Bacillota
Description: bacterial SSU rRNA
Rfam family: Bacterial small subunit ribosomal RNA
Source: RNAcentral
GAUGAACGCUGGCGGCGUGCCUAAUACAUGCAAGUCGAGCGAACUGAUUAGAAGCUUGCUUCUAUGACGUUAGCGGCGGACGGGUGAGUAACACGUGGGCAACCUGCCUGUAAGACUGGGAUAACUUCGGGAAACCGAAGCUAAUACCGGAUAGGAUCUUCUCCUUCAUGGGAGAUGAUUGAAAGAUGGUUUCGGCUAUCACUUACAGAUGGGCCCGCGGUGCAUUAGCUAGUUGGUGAGGUAACGGCUCACCAAGGCAACGAUGCAUAGCCGACCUGAGAGGGUGAUCGGCCACACUUGGACUGAGACACGGCCCAGACUCCUACGGGUGGCUG